Molecule: ribosomal RNA, 497 nt
Filed under: Lactiplantibacillus plantarum
Lineage: Bacteria; Bacillati; Bacillota; Bacilli; Lactobacillales; Lactobacillaceae
Description: bacterial SSU rRNA
Rfam family: Bacterial small subunit ribosomal RNA
Source: RNAcentral
GGCGCAACGUAGUGCGGCGUGCCUUAAUACCAUGCAAGUCGAACGAACUCUGGUAUUGAUUGGUGCUUGCAUCAUGAUUUACAUUUCCUUUUAAUGGCGAACUGGUGAGUAACACGUGGGAAACCUGCCCACAUUAAGGGGAUAACACCUGGAAACAGAUGCUAAUACCGCAUAACAACUUGGACCGCAUGGUCCGAGUUUGAAAGAUGGCUUCGGCUAUCACUUUUGGAUGGUCCCGCGGCGUAUUAGCUAGAUGGUGGGGUAACGGCUCACCAUGGCAAUGAUACGUAGCCGACCUGAGAGGGUAAUCGGCCACAUUGGGACUGAGACACGGCCCAAACUCCUACGGGAGGCAGCAGUAGGGAAUCUUCCACAAUGGACGAAAGUCUGAUGGAGCAACGCCGCGUGAGUGAAGAAGGGUUUCGGCUCGUAAAACUCUGUUGUUAAAUAAUAACAUAUCUGAGAGUAACUGUUCAGGUAUUGACGGUUAUUUAACC